AUGUUUUCUCAGACACUUCUAUAUGUUACAAUUACAAAUGUAUAUAAGCUCGGAGAAUAUGCCACAUUGGAUUCUCCUGCCACAAAAAAAAAUCUCUCCCAGCUACUUCCCCAAAAGUGUCACUGUCCAGUGGGUCCACCCUCGAUUCCCUUUAUAGCGCCACGCCUUGUCGUUCCCAAUCGCUCACUUCCGGAUCGAAAGUCGCCGGCCAUGAAGCUCUUCUGCCUUCUCCUCGUCUCCUUUUUUGCCGCGGCGUACGCGUCGUCGGAGAGAGCGAUCGCGGUCGCGGGCGCCGGCGGCCUCUUAUCGGAUCCGGAGCAACAGUGCGUGUACACGGUGUACGUGCGGACGGGGUCGAUCUGGAAGGGCGGGACGGACUCGGCAAUCGGCGUGACGCUGCUGGGCUCGGACGGCACGGGCGUCCGGAUCGCCGACCUGGAGCAGUGGGGCGGGAUGAUGGGCGCCGGCCACGACUACUACGAGCGCGGCAAUCUCGACAUCUUCAGCGGCCGCGGGCCCUGCAUGGAGCGCGCGCCGUGCUGGGCGAACGUCACCUCCGACGGCGCCGGCGCGCACCACGGCUGGUACUGCAACUAUGUCGAGGUCACGGCCACGGGGCCCCACAUGGGCUGCGCGCAGCAGCUCUUCACCGUCGAGCAGUGGCUCGCCACCGACGCCUCCCCCUACCGCCUCUACACCGCCGUCGACAACUGCGGCGACAAGCAGGCCGCCAAGGGCCAGGAGGUCAGGGCCAGCAUCGCUCUGUGA
This 768-nucleotide ribosomal RNA is filed under the name Triticum aestivum (bread wheat). Its description in RNAcentral is "partial small subunit ribosomal RNA". The record is from RNAcentral. Lineage: Eukaryota; Viridiplantae; Streptophyta; Magnoliopsida; Poales; Poaceae.